GUAAGGUCCCUCCCAGUUCGGAGCCAGUUUCCCUUGCUCGGUUGGUCGGGAGGCCUCGGCUCUUCUAAGGGCGAGGUCCCCUGCUUUGAAGGAUUUAACUGACUCUGGCGUUGUAGUACUGCGCUGUCUUUUGCUGGUACCUCGCCAUGCGAACUCGGGCGGCCUCCCUUGUCUCCUCGAUUAGGUCCAGGUUAUUUCUGAGCUGUGAGGAGUUGGAGCUGGC
Molecule: long non-coding RNA, 223 nt
Filed under: Phoenix dactylifera (date palm)
Lineage: Eukaryota; Viridiplantae; Streptophyta; Magnoliopsida; Arecales; Arecaceae
Description: long non-coding RNA (PDAC_LNC018694)
Source: RNAcentral